This 21-nucleotide non-coding RNA is filed under the name Caenorhabditis elegans. Lineage: Eukaryota; Metazoa; Nematoda; Chromadorea; Rhabditida; Rhabditidae. The record is from RNAcentral.
UUCUCCACUUGAGCUUCUGCU